RNAcentral lists this transfer RNA (73 nucleotides) under Nematostella vectensis (starlet sea anemone). RNAcentral describes it as "tRNA-Lys". It matches the Rfam family "tRNA". From Rfam's summary of the family: Transfer RNA (tRNA) molecules are approximately 80 nucleotides in length. Their secondary structure includes four short double-helical elements and three loops (D, anti-codon, and T loops). Further hydrogen bonds mediate the characteristic L-shaped molecular structure. tRNAs have two regions of fundamental functional importance: the anti-codon, which is responsible for specific mRNA codon recognition, and the 3' end, to which the tRNAs corresponding amino acid is attached (by aminoacyl-tRNA synthetases). tRNAs cope with the degeneracy of the genetic code in two manners: having more than one tRNA (with a specific anti-codon) for a particular amino acid; and 'wobble' base-pairing, i.e. permitting non-standard base-pairing at the 3rd anti-codon position. Lineage: Eukaryota; Metazoa; Cnidaria; Anthozoa; Actiniaria; Edwardsiidae. The record is from Rfam by way of RNAcentral.
GCCCGAUUAGCUCAGAUGGUAGAGCAUCAGACUUUUAAUCUGAGGGUCAUGGGUUCAAGCCCCAUAUCGGGCG